GACGGAGGGUGCAAGCGUUGUUCGGAAUUACUGGGCGUAAAGCGCGUGUAGGCGGCUUGCUAAGUCUGAUGUGAAAGCCCGCGGCUCACCCCCGGAAGUGCAUUGGAAACUGGCGAGCUCGAGUCCCGGAGAGGAGGGUUGAAUUCCUGGUGGAGCGGUGAAAUGCGUAGAUAUCAGGAGGAACACCGGUGGCGAAGGCGGCCCUCUGGACGGUGACUGACGCUGAGACGCGAAAGCGUGGGGAGCAAACAGG
Molecule: ribosomal RNA, 253 nt
Filed under: uncultured bacterium
Lineage: Bacteria
Description: partial 16S ribosomal RNA
Rfam family: Bacterial small subunit ribosomal RNA
Source: RNAcentral